UUAAAUUGAAGAGUUUGAUCAUGGCUCAGAUUGAACGCUGGCGGCAGGCCUAACACAUGCAAGUCGAACGGUAACAGGAAUCAGCUUGCUGAUUCGCUGACGAGUGGCGGACGGGUGAGUAAUGUCUGGGAAACUGCCUGAUGGAGGGGGAUAACUACUGGAAACGGUAGCUAAUACCGCAUAACGUCGCAAGACCAAAGAGGGGGACCUUCGGGCCUCUUGCCAUCGGAUGUGCCCAGAUGGGAUUAGCUAGUAGGUGGGGUAACGGCUCACCUAGGCGACGAUCCCUAGCUGGUCUGAGAGGAUGACCAGCCACACUGGAACUGAGACACGGUCCAGACUCCUACGGGAGGCAGCAGUGGGGAAUAUUGCACAAUGGGCGCAAGCCUGAUGCAGCCAUGCCGCGUGUAUGAAGAAGGCCUUCGGGUUGUAAAGU
Molecule: ribosomal RNA, 436 nt
Filed under: Escherichia coli
Lineage: Bacteria; Pseudomonadati; Pseudomonadota; Gammaproteobacteria; Enterobacterales; Enterobacteriaceae
Description: bacterial SSU rRNA
Rfam family: Bacterial small subunit ribosomal RNA
Source: RNAcentral